RNAcentral lists this ribosomal RNA (373 nucleotides) under uncultured organism. RNAcentral's name for it is "partial 16S ribosomal RNA". It matches the Rfam family "Bacterial small subunit ribosomal RNA", at positions 527 to 896 of the family's 1533-position model. The record is from RNAcentral.
GUAGGUGGCAAGCGUUGUCCGGAAUUAUUGGGCGUAAAGCGCGCGCAGGCGGUUCUUUAAGUCUGAUGUGAAAGCCCACGGCUCAACCGUGGAGGGUCAUUGGAAACUGGAGAACUUGAGUACAGAAGAGGAAAGCGGAAUUCCACGUGUAGCGGUGAAAUGCGUAGAGAUGUGGAGGAACACCAGUGGCGAAGGCGGCUUUCUGGUCUGUAACUGACGCUGAGGCGCGAAAGCGUGGGGAGCAAACAGGGAUUAGAUACCCUGGUAGUUCACGCCGUAAACGAUGAGUGCUAAGUGUUAGGGGGUUUCCGCCCCCUUAGUGCUGCAGCUAACGCAUUAAGCACUCCGCCUGGGGAGUACGGCCGCAAGGCUG